GACGAACGCUGGCGGCGCGCCUAACACAUGCAAGUCGAACGGAGCUGAGAGAAGCUUGCUUUUCUUAGCUUAGUGGCGAACGGGUGAGUAACGCGUGAGUAACCUGCCCUGGAGUGGGGGACAACAGUUGGAAACGACUGCUAAUACCGCAUAAGCCCACGAUCCGGCAGCGGAUUGAGUGAAAGGGGUUUAUUCGCUUCAGGAUGGACUCGCGUCCAAUUAUCUAGUUGGUGGGGUAACGGCCCACCAAGGCGACGAUGGUUAGCCGGACUGAGAGGUGGAACGGCCACAUUGGGACUGAGACACGGCCCAGACUCCUGCGAGGGGCAGCAGUGGGGGAUAUUGCACAAGGGGGGAAACCCUAAUGCAGCGGCGCCGCGUGGAGGAAGAAGGUUUUCGGAUGGUAAACUCCUGUCGAUAGGGACGAUAUGGCCGGUACCUAACAAGAAAGCACCGGCUACCUCCGU
RNAcentral lists this ribosomal RNA (467 nucleotides) under uncultured bacterium. RNAcentral's name for it is "partial 16S ribosomal RNA". It matches the Rfam family "Bacterial small subunit ribosomal RNA", at positions 28 to 506 of the family's 1533-position model. The record is from RNAcentral.